This 301-nucleotide long non-coding RNA is filed under the name Androctonus crassicauda. Lineage: Eukaryota; Metazoa; Arthropoda; Arachnida; Scorpiones; Buthidae. The record is from RNAcentral.
GAUCAGAUCCGGCCGGCGGAGGGGUCGGGAGUGUAUAAGAUGCCGGUGUUGGACAGUGCCACAGGGGAGGAGGCUGUCUGUGUGGGAGUCACUGCCGGGACACUUGACCGGCGCCUUUCGGAGCGUGGGAGGGACAUAGUGGGAGGCAGGACAUCAACGGCGUUGGCAGCAGCGGCCUGUGGAGGAGACAUGUCGGUCGAUUGGAGGGCGGCAGGGGUGGUUGGGCCUUUGAAGAGGGAGAGGCGCGCAGUUUUGGCAGAGGCCAUGGAGAUGUGUGGAAGCGAGUGGAAUGAGAAGCCCC